CCUACGGGAGGCAGCAGUGAGGAAUAUUGGUCAAUGGACGAGAGUCUGAACCAGCCAAGUAGCGUGAAGGAUGACUGCCCUAUGGGUUGUAAACUUCUUUUAUAUGGGAAUAAAACGUUCCACGUGUGGGAUUUUGUAUGUAUCAUAUGAAUAAGGAUCGGCUAACUCCGUGCCAGCAGCCGCGGUAAUACGGAGGAUCCGAGCGUUAUCCGGAUUUAUUGGGUUUAAAGGGAGCGUAGGUGGAUUGUUAAGUCAGUUGUGAAAGUUUGCGGCUCAACCGUAAAAUUGCAGUUGAAACUGGCAGUCUUGAGUACAGUAGAGGUGAGCGGAAUUCGUGGUGUAGCGGUGAAAUGCUUAGAUAUCACGAAGAACUCCGAUUGCGAAGGCAGUUCACUGGACUGCAACUGACACUGAGGCUCGAAAGUGUGGGUAUCAAACAGGAUUAGAUACCCUGGUAGUC
RNAcentral lists this ribosomal RNA (460 nucleotides) under uncultured bacterium. Its description in RNAcentral is "partial 16S ribosomal RNA". It matches the Rfam family "Bacterial small subunit ribosomal RNA", at positions 338 to 795 of the family's 1533-position model. The record is from RNAcentral.